This 118-nucleotide small nuclear RNA is filed under the name Helianthus annuus (common sunflower). RNAcentral describes it as "U5 spliceosomal RNA". It matches the Rfam family "U5 spliceosomal RNA". Rfam says of the family: U5 RNA is a component of both types of known spliceosome. The precise function of this molecule is unknown, though it is known that the 5' loop is required for splice site selection and p220 binding, and that both the 3' stem-loop and the Sm site are important for Sm protein binding and cap methylation. Lineage: Eukaryota; Viridiplantae; Streptophyta; Magnoliopsida; Asterales; Asteraceae. The record is from RNAcentral.
AGCCAUGUAGUGAGCACAAAGCGAACUAUUCUUUCGCCUUUUACUAAAGAAUACUGUGUGUUUGUUGCGCUAAAUGGCAUACACUUAUUUUUGGAUAGCCCCUUUAUUAUUGAAGGGU